GGGUCAGUAGGUUGGUCGUGCCACCGGUACGUACUGGUCUCACUGAUUCCUCCUUCCUGAAUAACCGUAAUGCCAUUAAUUUGGUGUUGCGGGGAAACAGGACUGUUACUUUGAAAAAAUUAGAGUGUUUAACGCAGGCUAACGCUUGAAUACAUUAGCAUGGAAUAAUGAAAUAGGACGAUCGAUCCUAUUUUGUUGGUUUCUAGGAUUGACGUA
This 216-nucleotide ribosomal RNA is filed under the name Glomeromycotina sp. RNAcentral describes it as "partial small subunit ribosomal RNA". The stretch from base 40 to 216 matches the Rfam family "Eukaryotic small subunit ribosomal RNA", at positions 686 to 864 of the family's 1831-position model. The record is from RNAcentral. Lineage: Eukaryota; Fungi; Glomeromycota.